ACGGCCAUACCAUGAUGAAAGCACCGGUUCUCGUCCGAUCGCCGAAGUUAAGCAUCAUCUUGCGCGGUCAGUACUCGGGAGGGUGACCACCUGGGAACACCGCGUGCCGUU
This 111-nucleotide ribosomal RNA is filed under the name Trichonephila inaurata madagascariensis. Lineage: Eukaryota; Metazoa; Arthropoda; Arachnida; Araneae; Nephilidae. The record is from RNAcentral.